This is a non-coding RNA of Macaca mulatta (Rhesus monkey), 553 nucleotides long. The record is from RefSeq and is a predicted model, not a curated record. NCBI's taxonomy places the organism in Eukaryota, Metazoa, Chordata, Mammalia, Primates, Cercopithecidae.
UAAGACUGUGACUAUACUGAGCACUUAAAUUGGGACUCCAAGGUGAUCUGAUCAUUAGGUACACCAUCUGGCUAUUAGAUGUACCACUAUGUAAUGAGAGUAAGUUAAGGCAUGAUUAGGAUGUCCUGUCAGCUCCUGCAUCAGAGGGAAGUAGGUGCACUGACUUCAGGCAGUUGGCUGGGACAUUAAUGGGUGGAGGAGACCACAUAAUGGGGUGACUCUUCUGUUCACCUGUCUACAAAUGGAAUCAAGACCACCUGGCCUCCUGUAGUGCAGGGAAGACUGAAUUUCAAAAAAUAGAACGGUUCAAUGGUCUCUGGUGGCAGAGAAAGGCCUUCAGAAGCAUCUCAGAGGCUUGCCAUUGGAAGUUAUCAUGUAGAGGAUUAAAUGGGAAACUGUCACCACAUCCACGAGGAAGACAACUAGAGCUACUUGUAAAGAGAAAUCCAAAGGAAAGGCAAUGAGAGUGGCUUCCUUUUACAAAUGUAAUUGUGAAAAAUAUAUGAUAAGAUUAGACUUACCUUCUAACUUGUGGAAAGUAAAAGUAGAAGAC